Molecule: ribosomal RNA, 700 nt
Filed under: uncultured bacterium
Lineage: Bacteria
Description: bacterial SSU rRNA
Rfam family: Bacterial small subunit ribosomal RNA
Source: RNAcentral
UGCAAGUCGUACGAGGGCUUUUAGCCCUAGUGGCGGACGGGUGAGUAACACGUGAGAAUCUGCCCUUAGGAGGAGGAUAACAGCUGGAAACGGUUGCUAAUACUCCAUAUGCCGAGAGGUGAAAGGAAUUUCUGCCUAAGGAGGAGCUCGCGUCUGAUUAGCUAGUUGGUAGGGUAAAGGCCUACCAAGGCGACGAUCAGUAGCUGGUUUGAGAGGAUGAUCAGCCACACUGGGACUGAGACACGGCCCAGACUCCUACGGGAGGCAGCAGUAGGGAAUUUUCCGCAAUGGGCGAAAGCCUGACGGAGCAAUACCGCGUGAGGGAUGACGGCCUGUGGGUUGUAAACCUCUUUUCUCAAGGAAGAAGUUCUGACGGUACUUGAGGAAUCAGCCUCGGCUAACUCCGUGCCAGCAGCCGCGGUAAUACGGGGGAGGCAAGCGUUAUCCGGAAUUAUUGGGCGUAAAGCGUCCGCAGGUGGUCAGCCAAGUCUGCCGUCAAAUCAGGUUGCUUAACGACCUAAAGGCGGUGGAAACUGGCAGACUAGAGAGCAGUAGGGGUAGCAGGAAUUCCCAGUGUAGCGGUGAAAUGCGUAGAGAUUGGGAAGAACAUCGGUGGCGAAAGCGUGCUACUGGGCUGUAUCUGACACUCAGGGACGAAAGCUAGGGGAGCGAAAGGGAUUAGAUACCCCUGUAGUCCUAG